CCCUAGCCCCGAUAGCAGUGAAAAUCCUUUUACUUUUUUCUUUAAAAAGUAAAAGAUUGAAACGUAUAACGGGAAAUUGC
Molecule: small RNA, 80 nt
Filed under: Flavobacterium frigoris
Lineage: Bacteria; Pseudomonadati; Bacteroidota; Flavobacteriia; Flavobacteriales; Flavobacteriaceae
Description: Flavo-1 RNA
Rfam family: Flavo-1 RNA
Source: RNAcentral